CUCCGGUUGAUCCUGCCGGACCUGACUGCUAUCGGAUUGGUACUAAGCCAUGCGAGUCGUUGUAGCAAUACAAGGCGGACGGCUCAGUAACACGUAGUCAACCUAACCUAUGGACGUGGAUAACCUCGGGAAACUGAGAAUAAACCGCGAUAGAUCAUUAUGCCUGGAAUGGCUUAUGGUUCAAACAAUUUAUUGCCGUAGGAUGGGACUGCGGCCUAUCAGCUUGUUGGUGAGGUAAUGGCCCACCAAGGCUAUAACAGGUACGGGCUCUGAGAGGAGAAGCCCGGAGAUGGGUACUGAGACACGGACCCAGGCCCUAUGGGGCGCAGCAGGCGAGAAACCUUAGCAAUGUGCGAAAGCACGACUAGGUUAAUCCGAGUGAUUUCUGUUGAAGAAAUCUUUUGUCAGUCGUAAAACCACAGACGAAUAAGGGGUGGGCAAGUCUGGUGUCAGCCGCCGCGGUAAUACCAGCACCUCGAGUGGUCAGGAGGUUUAUUGGGCCUAAAGCAUCCGUAGCCGGCUACGCAAGUCUCCGGUUAAAUCCAGCUGCUCAACAGAUGGGCUGCCGGAGAUACUACAUAGCUAGGGAGCGGGAGAGGUAGACGGUAUUCUGUGGGUAGGGGUAAAAUCCACUGAUCCAUAGAGGACCACCAGUGGCGAAGGCGGUCUACCAGAACGCGUUCGACGGUGAGGGAUGAAAGCUGGGGGAGCAAACCGGAUUAGAUACCCGGGUAGUCCCAGCUGUAAACGAUGCAAACUCGGUGAUGCAUUGGCUUAUGGCCAAUGCAGUGCCGCAGGGAAGCCGUUAAGUUUGCCGCCUGGGAAGUACGGACGCAAGUCUGAAACUUAAAGGAUUGGCGGGGGAGCAC
RNAcentral lists this ribosomal RNA (869 nucleotides) under uncultured archaeon. RNAcentral's name for it is "bacterial SSU rRNA". It matches the Rfam family "Archaeal small subunit ribosomal RNA", at positions 1 to 879 of the family's 1478-position model. The record is from RNAcentral.